GUACACUCCUGCGGGAGGCAGCAGUGGGGAAUAUUGGACAAUGGGCGCAAGCCUGAUCCAGCCAUGCCGCGUGAGUGAUGAAGGCCCUAGGGUUGUAAAGCUCUUUCACCGGAGAAGAUAAUGACGGUAUCCGGAGAAGAAGCCCCGGCUAACUUCGUGCCAGCAGCCGCGGUAAUACGAAGGGGGCUAGCGUUGUUCGGAAUUACUGGGCGUAAAGCGCACGUAGGCGGAUCGAUCAGUCAGGGGUGAAAUCCCAGGGCUCAACCCUGGAACUGCCUUUGAUACUGUCGAUCUGGAGUAUGGAAGAGGUGAGUGGAAUUCCGAGUGUAGAGGUGAAAUUCGUAGAUAUUCGGAGGAACACCAGUGGCGAAGGCGGCUCACUGGUCCAUUACUGACGCUGAGGUGCGAAAGCGUGGGGAGCAAACAGGAUUAGAAACCCGAGUAGUCC
This 448-nucleotide ribosomal RNA is filed under the name uncultured organism. Its description in RNAcentral is "partial 16S ribosomal RNA". It matches the Rfam family "Bacterial small subunit ribosomal RNA", at positions 331 to 796 of the family's 1533-position model. The record is from RNAcentral.